Molecule: ribosomal RNA, 428 nt
Filed under: uncultured bacterium
Lineage: Bacteria
Description: partial 16S ribosomal RNA
Rfam family: Bacterial small subunit ribosomal RNA
Source: RNAcentral
GUGGGGAAUAUUGGGCAAUGGGCGCAAGCCUGACCCAGCAACGCCGCGUGAAGGAAGAAGGCUUUCGGGUUGUAAACUUCUUUUACCAGGGACGAAACAAAUGAUGGUACCUGGUGAAUAAGCCACGGCUAACUACGUGCCAGCAGCCGCGGUAAUACGUAGGUGGCGAGCGUUAUCCGGAUUUAUUGGGUGUAAAGGGCGUGUAGGCGGGACAGCAAGUCAGAUGUGAAAACCAGAGGCUCAACCUCUGGCCUGCAUUUGAAACUGUUGUUCUUGAGUGUCGGAGAGGUAAUCGGAAUUCCGUGUGUAGCGGUGAAAUGCGUAGAUAUACGGAGGAACACCAGUGGCGAAGGCGGAUUACUGGACGAUAACUGACGCUGAGGCGCGAAAGCGUGGGGAGCAAACAGGAUUAGAAACCCUAGUAGUCC